This 566-nucleotide ribosomal RNA is filed under the name uncultured archaeon. RNAcentral describes it as "bacterial SSU rRNA". It matches the Rfam family "Archaeal small subunit ribosomal RNA", at positions 327 to 897 of the family's 1478-position model. The record is from RNAcentral.
GGGGUGCAGCAGGCGCGAAAACUUUACAAUGCGGGAAACCGUGAUAAGGGGACACCGAGUGCCAGCAUCAUAUGCUGGCUGUCCAGGUGUGUAAAAUACACCUGUCAGCAAGGGCCGGGCAAGACCGGUGCCAGCCGCCGCGGUAACACCGGCGGCCCGAGUGGUGAUCGUGAUUAUUGGGUCUAAAGGGUCCGUAGCCGGUUUGGUCAGUCCUCCGGGAAAUCUGACGGCUCAACCGUUAGGCUUUCGGGGGAUACUGCCAGGCUUGGAACCGGGAGAGGUAAGAGGUACUACAGGGGUAGGAGUGAAAUCUUGUAAUCCCUGUGAGACCACCUGUGGCGAAGGCGUCUUACCAGAACGGGUUCGACGGUGAGGGACGAAAGCUGGGGGCACGAACCGGAUUAGAUACCCGGGUAGUCCCAGCCGUAAACGAUGCUCGCUAGGUGUCAGGCAUGGCGCGACCGUGUCUGGUGCCGCAGGGAAGCCGUGAAGCGAGCCACCUGGGAAGUACGGCCGCAAGGCUGAAACUUAAAGGAAUUGGCGGGGGAGCACAAGGGCGAAUCGCG